UACAGAGGUCUCGAGCGUUGUUCGGAUUCAUUGGGCGUAAAGGGUGCGUAGGUGGCAGGGUAAGUCGGAUGUGAAAUCCCGGGGCUCAACCUCGGAACUGCAUUCGAUACUGCUUUGCUUGAGUACUGGAGAGGAGAUUGGAAUUUACGGUGUAGCAGUGAAAUGCGUAGAUAUCGUAAGGAAGACCAGUGGCGAAGGCGGAUCUCUGGACAGUUACUGACACUGAGGCACGAAGGCCACGGGAGCAAACUGG
RNAcentral lists this ribosomal RNA (253 nucleotides) under uncultured bacterium. Its description in RNAcentral is "partial 16S ribosomal RNA". It matches the Rfam family "Bacterial small subunit ribosomal RNA", at positions 524 to 776 of the family's 1533-position model. The record is from RNAcentral.